GACGAACGCUGGCGGCGUGCCUAACACAUGCAAGUCGAACGGGGUUACACGCUGAAAUUGAGACAGCUUGCUGAGGAAAUUUCUUGUGUAAUCUAGUGGCGGACGGGUGAGUAACGCGUGAGUAACCUGCCUUUCAGAGGGGGAUAACGUUUUGAAAAGAACGCUAAUACCGCAUAACAUUGCAAGACCGCAUGGUAAUGCAAUCAAAAGAGCAAUCUGCUGAAAGAUGGACUCGCGUCCGAUUAGAUAGUUGGGGGGGUAACGGCCCACCAAGUCGACGAUCGGUAGCCGGACUGAGAGGUUGAACGGCCACAUUGGGACUGAGACACGGCCCAGACUCCUACGGGAGGCAGCAGUGAGGAAUAUUGGGCAAUGGGGGAAACCCUGACCCAGCAACGCCGCGUGAGGGAAGACGGUUUUCGGAUUGUAAACCUCUGUCCUCUGUGAAGAUAAUGACGGUAGCAGAGGAGGAAGCUCCGGCUAACUACGUGCCAGCCGCCGCAGUAAAA
RNAcentral lists this ribosomal RNA (509 nucleotides) under uncultured bacterium. RNAcentral's name for it is "bacterial SSU rRNA". It matches the Rfam family "Bacterial small subunit ribosomal RNA", at positions 28 to 525 of the family's 1533-position model. The record is from RNAcentral.